CAGCAGCCGCGGUAAAACGGAGGGUGCAAGCGUUAAUCGGAAUUACUGGGCGUAAAGCGCGCGCAGGCGGUUUGUUAAGUCAGAUGUGAAAUCCCCGAGCUUAACUUGGGAACUGCAUUUGAAACUGGCAAGCUAGAGUCUUGUAGAGGGGGGUAGAAUUCCAGGUGUAGCGGUGAAAUGCGUAGUGAUCUGGAGGAAUACCGGUGGCGAAGGCGGCCCCCUGGACAAAGACUGACGCUCAGGUGCGAAAGCGUGGGGAGCAAACAGGAUUAGAUACCCCGGUAGUCCCUGUCUCUUAUAC
Molecule: ribosomal RNA, 301 nt
Filed under: uncultured bacterium
Lineage: Bacteria
Description: partial 16S ribosomal RNA
Rfam family: Bacterial small subunit ribosomal RNA
Source: RNAcentral